This 378-nucleotide unclassified non-coding RNA is filed under the name uncultured bacterium. RNAcentral's name for it is "contains 16S-23S intergenic spacer region". The record is from RNAcentral.
UCCGGUUUGGCACCGGCAGUCUCCCCAGAGUUCCCGGCAUGACCCGCUGGCAACUGAGGACAGGGGUUGCGCUCGUUGCGCCACUUAAGGCAACACCUCACGACACGAGCUGACGACAGCCAUGCACCACCUGUGUACCAGUCCCGAAGGAGGACCGUAUUUCUACGGUUUUCUGGUGCAUGUCAAGCCCUGGUAAGGUUCUUCGCGUUGCAUCGAAUUAAACCACAUGCUCCGCUGCUUGUGCGGGUCCCCGUCAAUUCCUUUGAGUUUUAGCCUUGCGGCCGUACUCCCCAGGCGGAGUGCUUAACGCGUUAGCUGCGACACCGCGGGGGUCAAUACCCACAGCAUCUAGCACUCAUCGUUUACGGCGUGGACUAC